AUAUAAAGGCCAUAGGGCUAUCAGAAUGAAACUACGGCUGGUCAGAAGAGAAGGGAAAGAUUCAAGAGAGGCGUUGGCCUCCGUGUUGGGUAGAAGAGAGGACAGAGCGGCCAGAAGUGGGGGGCAUGGAGCCCAGAAUCAUCAAGUCCCCGCGAGGCAAGCAGAGGUCCGUUUCACAUGGCCGGGGCCAGCACCUUGGCCCACCUUCGGACCUUCAGACCUCUUCCUGCUCUCUCUUCUUCCUUCGGAGAAGGGGAGUGCUCCCACCAGCCUCACCUGGUCACCUCUCUGCCCAUCUUCAGAGGGUCCCAUCACUCCCCUGGGGCCGAAAAAUAAAUAACUUGCUCAGAAGUCUAAGAAAUCCAAUCUCAAAGCCCUUCGCGGGGGAGGGAACACGUGCAUGUGACCGACCGCGCACUGGAAUUUCAGGAGCCCCGGCUUUCACAGCACCCACGGGCCCGUGGGAGCCCGAAGCCCCCACAGCCUUCUGCAGGGACGACGCUGCCAUUCGUCUCUCUCAGCCUGCCUCGGGAUCGGCUUCGGCUGGACGUCUCACUCCGCAUUUACUUUGCAAGCAAACGUAAUUAAAUGUGAAGGCCUCCAGCAGCUCCAGUGAAUCAUCGGUCUGCUGGACGAGCGAGCAGGAAAGACAGCGCGGAACACCUCUGGCCCCGGGUCGGCCCUUCCAUCCGCUGCGAGUCUGGGGUUAGAGCAGGAACGCGGGGCCAUUCUGGGUCUGUCUCAGAAGCAGGAAAGCCUCCAAGAGGGGGAAUGGUUUCAGAAUAAUAAAGAGUCUGCUGGUUGGCAUGGAA
Neogale vison (American mink) is the source of this 812-nucleotide long non-coding RNA. RefSeq lists it as uncharacterized. The record is from RefSeq and is a predicted model, not a curated record. NCBI's taxonomy places the organism in Eukaryota, Metazoa, Chordata, Mammalia, Carnivora, Mustelidae. The transcript has 2 exons.